AUGAGGACUCUGUCCCUGCUCGCCGUCCUCCUCCUAGUCGCCUUCCACCCGCGCAACGCCGCCGACGCCCACGGCCGCCAUUUCGGCAAGGAGAAGCUCACCAACCUGCGCUUCUACCUGCACGACACCCUGAGCGGCCGCGACCCGACGGCCGUCCCCGUGGCACACGGCGCCAGCGCCACGCCCAGGCCCGGCGACCCCACGCCCUUCAGCUCCGUCUACGUCGUCGACGACGUGCUCACCGAGGGGCCCGAGCGGACGUCCAGGGUGGUCGGCAGCGCGCAGGGGCUGUACGCGUCCACGGGCAGGCACGGGUUGGGCCUCGUCCUCGGCAUCGACUUCGCCCUCAACGACUACAACGGCAGCUCCUUCGUGGUCUUCUCGCGAAACCCCGUCGCGGACGGGGACGGCAGGGAGCUCGCCGUCGUCGGCGGCCGCGGCGCGUUCCGGCUGGCCCGCGGCUUCGCGCUGCUCCGCACGCACUACCUCAACACCGGCAACGGGGACGCCAUCAUCGAGUACAACGUCACCCUCCUGCACUACUGA
This 546-nucleotide ribosomal RNA is filed under the name Triticum aestivum (bread wheat). Its description in RNAcentral is "partial small subunit ribosomal RNA". The record is from RNAcentral. Lineage: Eukaryota; Viridiplantae; Streptophyta; Magnoliopsida; Poales; Poaceae.